Molecule: long non-coding RNA, 327 nt
Filed under: Mytilus galloprovincialis (Mediterranean mussel)
Lineage: Eukaryota; Metazoa; Mollusca; Bivalvia; Mytilida; Mytilidae
Source: RNAcentral
UGCCUUUACUGAGCCGAAUAUGGUAUAGAUAUUGAAUUGGAUAUACUGUGUUUAAAAAUACCUUUGAAAAUUAUCAAGUUACAGUUGAUUCGCGGUAAAAUUGCAUUCUGUUUAACAAUUUCUAGUAUAUUGUUGGGUUUCAGCCUCACUGAGUAUCCCCCUUUUAUCCAAUUCAAAAACCAACAAAAAGAGCCGUGAUGUAGUGGUUAAUGCAUCGGACUACUGACACAAAGGUUCCUGGUUCGAUUCCCGUUCCGGCAUGAAAAUUUCAGGGACUGAAUUUUCGGCUCUCCAUUGACACCAUUUGCGAGUAUGGUCUUGAGGAAA